GGGGAGAGAGGGGGUGGGGCAGACAUUGAGAUGGAGGAGGGAGGUAGGCAGUGAGGCAGGGUGAGAGGGGGCUGAGGUGGACAGUGAGGCAGGUGAGAGGGGGGUGAGGUGGACAGUGAGGCAGGGUGAGAGGGGGGUGAGGUGGACAGUGAGGCAGGGUGAGAGGGGGGUGAGGUAGACAGUGAGGCAAGGUGAGAGGGGAGUGAGGUGGACAGUGAGGCAGGGUGAGAGGGGAGUGAGGUGGGCAUAUUUUCUCUACUUUUGCAAAAAUGUUAUACAGAAUGUUAUCAGAUCUUCAACCAAAACCUAAUAUCAGAUAAAGGGAACCUGAGUGAACAAAUAACACAAUAAUUGCUAAAUUCCUCCACAGCGACGUGAGAGACAGAUCAACAACUACAGGAAGUGUUUGGUUGGAGUCAUUACAGCUAAAAGGGGGCACAACCAGUUAUUGAGUGUAAAGGGGAAUUACUUUUCACACAGGGGAAUUGGGUGUGGCAUAAUUUUGUUAAUUAAAUAUAUAAAAUAAGUAUAUAUAUUUU
Oncorhynchus tshawytscha (Chinook salmon) is the source of this 539-nucleotide long non-coding RNA. The record is from Ensembl. Lineage: Eukaryota; Metazoa; Chordata; Actinopteri; Salmoniformes; Salmonidae.